This 118-nucleotide ribosomal RNA is filed under the name Pteropus alecto (black flying fox). Lineage: Eukaryota; Metazoa; Chordata; Mammalia; Chiroptera; Pteropodidae. The record is from RNAcentral.
GUCUACAGCCAUGCCACCCUGAACAUGCCUGAUCCCGUCUGAUCUCGGAAGUAAGCAGGGUCGGGCCUGGUUAGUACUUGGAUGGCAGACCACCUAGGAAGACCGGGUGCUGUAGGCG